UACGGAGGAUGCGAGCGUUAUCCGGAUUUAUUGGGUUUAACGGGUGCGUAGGCGGACUGUCAAGUCAGCGGUAAAAUACGGGGGCUCAACCUCCGCCCGCCGUUGAAACUGCGGGUCUUGAGUGAGCGAGAAGUAUGCGGAAUGCGUGGUGUAGCGGUGAAAUGCAUAGAUAUCACGCAGAACUCCGAUUGCGAAGGCAGCUUACCAGUCUGCGACUGACGCUCAGGCACGAAAGUGUGGGUAUCGAACAGG
Molecule: ribosomal RNA, 252 nt
Filed under: uncultured Bacteroidales bacterium
Lineage: Bacteria; Pseudomonadati; Bacteroidota; Bacteroidia; Bacteroidales
Description: partial 16S ribosomal RNA
Rfam family: Bacterial small subunit ribosomal RNA
Source: RNAcentral